Molecule: ribosomal RNA, 253 nt
Filed under: uncultured bacterium
Lineage: Bacteria
Description: partial 16S ribosomal RNA
Rfam family: Bacterial small subunit ribosomal RNA
Source: RNAcentral
UACGUAGGGCGCAAGCGUUAUCCGGAAUUAUUGGGCGUAAAGAGCUCGUAGGCGGUUUGUCGCGUCUGCCGUGAAAGUCCGGGGCUCAACUCCGGAUCUGCGGUGGGUACGGGCAGACUAGAGUGUGGUAGGGGAGACUGGAAUUCCUGGUGUGGCGGUGAAAUGCGCAGAUAUCAGGAGGAACACCGAUGGCGAAGGCAGGUCUCUGGGCCACUACUGACGCUGAGAAGCGAAAGCAUGGGGAGCGAACAGG